This is a long non-coding RNA of Austrofundulus limnaeus, 421 nucleotides long. RefSeq lists it as uncharacterized. NCBI's taxonomy places the organism in Eukaryota, Metazoa, Chordata, Actinopteri, Cyprinodontiformes, Rivulidae. The transcript is spliced from 3 exons. The record is from RefSeq and is a predicted model, not a curated record.
GAUAGCGAACAGACGCCCUCCGCUCCGCUCUCCACCCGACAGAGAGGCGAGCCCCUCAGCAUCACCAGCAUGCCCAGCAAGGUGGAGUGAGCUCAGCCGAGACCAGGACGAGAAUUCAUCACAUUUUAAAAGCUAUUCGACCGCUGUGUUAUUUAUAGCUUUAAGUUGCGAGGUUGGCGCUGGUCCAGACAUUAACUGCCAUGGCAACCGCAAAUGUAACGCUGGAGAAUCAGCUGCACAGCGCUCAAAAGAACCUGCUCUUCCUGCAGCAGGACCAUGCCAGCACACUGAAGGGGCUGCACGCAGAGAUCCGCAGAUUACAGCAGCAGUGCACAGACCUGACCUACGAGUUGACUGUGAGAAGCUCUGACCCGUCAGGUAAGCUCACCAACAAAACAACCAGACGAAAUGUAAAAACCUC